UAGCACAGUGGCUAGUGCCCUCGAUUCUCAAUCGAGAGGUUGCGGGUUCGAGUCCCUGGC
RNAcentral lists this transfer RNA (60 nucleotides) under Triticum aestivum (bread wheat). It matches the Rfam family "tRNA", at positions 8 to 63 of the family's 71-position model. From Rfam's summary of the family: Transfer RNA (tRNA) molecules are approximately 80 nucleotides in length. Their secondary structure includes four short double-helical elements and three loops (D, anti-codon, and T loops). Further hydrogen bonds mediate the characteristic L-shaped molecular structure. tRNAs have two regions of fundamental functional importance: the anti-codon, which is responsible for specific mRNA codon recognition, and the 3' end, to which the tRNAs corresponding amino acid is attached (by aminoacyl-tRNA synthetases). tRNAs cope with the degeneracy of the genetic code in two manners: having more than one tRNA (with a specific anti-codon) for a particular amino acid; and 'wobble' base-pairing, i.e. permitting non-standard base-pairing at the 3rd anti-codon position. Lineage: Eukaryota; Viridiplantae; Streptophyta; Magnoliopsida; Poales; Poaceae. The record is from Rfam by way of RNAcentral.